UGGGGAAUAUUGGACAAUGGGGGCAACCCUGAUCCAGCAAUGCCGCGUGUGUGAAGAAGGUCUUCGGAUUUGUAAAGCACUUUCGACGGGGACGAUGAUGACGGUACCCGUAGAAGAAGCCCCGGCUAACUUCGUGCCAGCAGCCGCGGUAAUACGAAGGGGGCUAGCGUUGCUCGGAAUGACUGGGCGUAAAGGGCGUGUAGGCGGUUUACACAGUCAGAUGUGAAAUCCCCGGGCUUAACCUGGGAGCUGCAUUUGAUACGUGUAGACUAGAGUGUGAGAGAGGGUUGUGGAAUUCCCAGUGUAGAGGUGAAAUUCGUAGAUAU
This 326-nucleotide ribosomal RNA is filed under the name uncultured bacterium. Its description in RNAcentral is "partial 16S ribosomal RNA". It matches the Rfam family "Bacterial small subunit ribosomal RNA", at positions 355 to 697 of the family's 1533-position model. The record is from RNAcentral.